Molecule: non-coding RNA, 107 nt
Organism: Acanthosepion pharaonis
Lineage: Eukaryota; Metazoa; Mollusca; Cephalopoda; Sepiida; Sepiidae
Source: the annotation of a GenBank genome assembly
GUCAUAUCACGUUAAAUUAGCAGCACUCGUACGAUCACCGAAGUUAAGCAACGUCGAGCCUGGUCAGUACCUAGAUGUGUGACUGCUUGGGAAUACUAGGUUCUGUA